AGACCCGAAACCCGGUGAUCUAGCCAUGGGCAGGUUGAAGGUUGGGUAACACUAACUGGAGGACCGAACCGACUAAUGUUGAAAAAUUAGCGGAUGACCUGUGGCUGGGGGUGAAAGGCCAAUCAAACCGGGAGAUAGCUGGUUCUCCCCGAAAGCUAUUUAGGUAGCGCCUCGUGAAUUCAUCUCCGGGGGUAGAGCACUGUUUCGGCUAGGGGGCCAUCCCGGCUUACCAACCCGAUGCAAACUGCGAAUACCGGAGAAUGUUAUCACGGGAGACACACGGCGGGUGCUAACGUCCGUCGUGAAGAGGGAAACAACCCAGACCGCCAGCUAAGGUCCCAAAGUCAUGGUUAAGUGGGAAACGAUGUGGGAAGGCCCAGACAGCCAGGAUGUUGGCUUAGAAGCAGCCAUCAUUUAAAGAAAGCGUAAUAGCUCACUGGUCGAGUCGGCCUGCGCGGAAGAUGUAACGGGGCUAAACCAUGCACCGAAGCUGCGGCAGCGAACGUAUCACCCAAGACAACUUUACGGAGUUGACGAUUGACGGAGCGAAGCGACGUCAAAGCGUUCAUUAAAGUCGAGUUGGCUUAGGGAUACGUUCGUUGGGUAGGGGAGCGUUCUGUAAGCCUGUGAAGGUGUGUCGUGAGGCAUGCUGGAGGUAUCAGAAGUGCGAAUGCUGACAUAAGUAACGAUAAAGCGGGUGAAAAGCCCGCUCGCCGGAAGACCAAGGGUUCCUGUCCAACGUUAAUCGGGGCAGGGUGAGUCGACCCCUAAGGCGAGGCCGAAAGGCGUAGUCGAUGGGAAACGGGUUAAUAUUCCCGUACUUGGUGUUACUGCGAAGGGGGGACGGAGAAGGCUAUGUUGGCCGGGCGACGGUUGUCCCGGUUUAAGCGUGUAGGUGUGUGUUCCAGGUAAAUCCGGUUCACUUUAACACUGAGGCGUGACGACGAGGCACUACGGUGCUGAAGCAACAAAUGCCCUGCUUCCAGGAAAAGCCUCUAAGCAUCAGGUAACACGAAAUCGUACCCCAAACCGACACAGGUGGUCAGGUAGAGAAUACCAAGGCGCUUGAGAGAACUCGGGUGAAGGAACUAGGCAAAAUGGUGCCGUAACUUCGGGAGAAGGCACGCUGACACGUAGGUGAAGUGAUUUACUCAUGGAGCUGAAGUCAGUCGAAGAUACCAGCUGGCUGCAACUGUUUAUUAAAAACACAGCACUGUGCAAACACGAGAGUGGACGUAUACGGUGUGACGCCUGCCCGGUGCCGGAAGGUUAAUUGAUGGGGUCAGCGUAAGCGAAGCUCCUGAUCGAAGCCCCGGUAAACGGCGGCCGUAACUAUAACGGUCCUAAGGUAGCGAAAUUCCUUGUCGGGUAAGUUCCGACCUGCACGAAUGGCGUAAUGAUGGCCAGGCUGUCUCCACCCGAGACUCAGUGAAAUUGAACUCGCUGUGAAGAUGCAGUGUACCCGCGGCAAGACGGAAAGACCCCGUGAACCUUUACUAUAGCUUGACACUGAACAUUGAGCCUUGAUGUGUAGGAUAGGUGGGAGGCUUUGAAGUGUGGACGCCAGUCUGCAUGGAGCCGACCUUGAAAUACCACCCUUUAAUGUUUGAUGUUCUAACGUGGACCCGUAAUCCGGGUUGCGGACAGUGUCUGGUGGGUAGUUUGACUGGGGCGGUCUCCUCCUAAAGAGUAACGGAGGAGCACGAAGGUUGGCUAAUCCUGGUCGGACAUCAGGAGGUUAGUGCAAUGGCAUAAGCCAGCUUGACUGCGAGCGUGACGGCGCGAGCAGGUGCGAAAGCAGGUCAUAGUGAUCCGGUGGUUCUGAAUGGAAGGGCCAUCGCUCAACGGAUAAAAGGUACUCCGGGGAUAACAGGCUGAUACCGCCCAAGAGUUCAUAUCGACGGCGGUGUUUGGCACCUCGAUGUCGGCUCAUCACAUCCUGGGGCUGAAGUAGGUCCCAAGGGUAUGGCUGUUCGCCAUUUAAAGUGGUACGCGAGCUGGGUUUAGAACGUCGUGAGACAGUUCGGUCCCUAUCUGCCGUGGGCGCUGGAGAACUGAGGGGGGCUGCUCCUAGUACGAGAGGACCGGAGUGGACGCAUCACUGGUGUUCGGGUUGUCAUGCCAAUGGCACUGCCCGGUAGCUAAAUGCGGAAGAGAUAAGUGCUGAAAGCAUCUAAGCACGAAACUUGCCCCGAGAUGAGUUCUCCCUGAGACUUAGAGUCUCCUGAAGGAACGUUGAAG
RNAcentral lists this ribosomal RNA (2241 nucleotides) under Salmonella enterica subsp. enterica serovar Typhimurium. RNAcentral's name for it is "partial 23S ribosomal RNA". It matches the Rfam family "Bacterial large subunit ribosomal RNA", at positions 711 to 2843 of the family's 2925-position model. Lineage: Bacteria; Pseudomonadati; Pseudomonadota; Gammaproteobacteria; Enterobacterales; Enterobacteriaceae. The record is from RNAcentral.